This 652-nucleotide long non-coding RNA is filed under the name Ananas comosus (pineapple). RNAcentral describes it as "long non-coding RNA (ACOM_LNC006972)". The record is from RNAcentral. Lineage: Eukaryota; Viridiplantae; Streptophyta; Magnoliopsida; Poales; Bromeliaceae.
CCGAUUUAAUUCUUCGAUUCUAAUUUCAAUGGUUCUUUAAGGAUUAGAUCGGUGAUGAACUAAUUAGGGUUUCUUCUCAUAUCAUAUGUGCUUUCUAAGUGUUUCAAUCACCACAAAUUGUUGAUCUCAACGAGCUUCGGAUGGAGCGAACACGCGUGGAUCGCGUGUGAGGCCGAGGAUUCGGUGGACGCAUCGAGGAGUCGAGGCGUUGACGCUGCGAGGAUUUGCGGCAGGAUCGAUCGAAGGACUUUGAUCGAUCGAGGACCGGCGAAGACAAUCUACAACGAGGAUUCGGUAAAUUGAGUCGUGUAUUUUCGGUAAAUCACUUGUACUCAAGUUUUCUUAGUAGAUUUCUUUAUGUGAUCGGUCCAGUGGGUUUUUCUCUCCGGAUUAGAGAUUUCCCACGUUAAAAUCUCGGUGUGUUGUUUUUAUUUUUCGCAUUCUCUUUUAAAUUGCAUCGAGUUUAUUUGUUUUUACCGUUUACACCUAUUCACCCCCUUUAGGUGUCUUUUACCUUUUAGAUCCUUGGGAUCCAUAUCUCAUAGUGCUCGAUGCAACCGGUCUCUCGGACAAGGACCGGUCCUCCAGGGUCCAGUCUCUCGAGCGAGGACCGGUUCCCGUACUCGUAAAGAGGGCUGGCCGAGAGCUCUGC